CCUACGGGAGGCAGCAGUAGGGAAUUUUCGUCAAUGGGCGCAAGCCUGAACGAGCAAUGCCGCGUGAACGAGGAAGGUCUUCGGAUCGUAAAGUUCUGUUGAAGGGGAAAAGAGCGGAGAGAGGAAAUGCAUUCUGAUUGAUAUUACCCUUCGAGGAAGUCACGGCUAACUACGUGCCAGCAGCCGCGGCAAUACGUAGGUGGCGAGCGUUAGCCGGAGUGAUUGGGAGUAAGGGGUGCGUAGGCGGCCUGCAAAGCCUGGAGGGAACGGUACGGGCUAAACCGGGACAGGCUCUGGAAACUGGCGGGCUAGAGAGCAGGAGAGGGAGGUGGAACUCCAUGUGUAGCGGUAAAAUGCGUAGAUAUAUGGAAGAACACCAGUGGCGAAGGCGGCCGCCUGGACUGUUACUGACGCUGAGGCACGAAAGCGUGGGGAGCAAAUAGGAUUAGAUACCCUAGUAGUC
This 463-nucleotide ribosomal RNA is filed under the name uncultured bacterium. Its description in RNAcentral is "partial 16S ribosomal RNA". It matches the Rfam family "Bacterial small subunit ribosomal RNA", at positions 338 to 795 of the family's 1533-position model. The record is from RNAcentral.